UACGGAGGGUGCAAGCGUUAUCCGGAUUCACUGGGUUUAAAGGGUGCGUAGGCGGGUUGGUAAGUCCGUGGUGAAAUCUCCGAGCUUAACUCGGAAACUGCCGUGGAUACUAUCAAUCUUGAAUGUCGUGGAGGUAAGCGGAAUAUGUCAUGUAGCGGUGAAAUGCUUAGAGAUGACAUAGAACACCAAUUGCGUAGGCAGCUUACUACACGAAUAUUGACGCUGAGGCACGAAAGCGUGGGGAGCAAAC
This 250-nucleotide ribosomal RNA is filed under the name uncultured prokaryote. RNAcentral describes it as "partial 16S ribosomal RNA". It matches the Rfam family "Bacterial small subunit ribosomal RNA", at positions 524 to 773 of the family's 1533-position model. The record is from RNAcentral.